Molecule: non-coding RNA, 369 nt
Organism: Schizosaccharomyces pombe (fission yeast)
Lineage: Eukaryota; Fungi; Ascomycota; Schizosaccharomycetes; Schizosaccharomycetales; Schizosaccharomycetaceae
Source: the annotation of a GenBank genome assembly
CACCAAAUUUUAGAAGCUAAUCACUCUCAUCAUAAUCGUCUACAUCCUCAUCGUUAUCGACGAUAAAAGAAUCAUCUUGCAUGCUGGGUUCAUCCAUGCUAUCAAACGAGGGAUCAACGUAAAUAGGUGUUUUCACUGUAGCCGCUGCUCUUCUGGUUGGCCUCUUUCUAAUCGGAGAAUCUGAAUCUUCUGGUGGCUCUGCGUUAGUCGAACUAGCUUUUGGAGUUGAACUACUACCUGGAAUAAUAAAAUCAUCAUCGUCAUCUUCAGGUGAUUGUUUCUUUACCGAGCUUGCUUUUUUCCCUUUAUUCUUCGCAGAAGCCUUCGUGGAUGUUAUGGUGGAAGGUUUCAAACUGCUAGGCAACAAAU